UGAGGAACAUGACCUUCGGCGGGGGAUAGCCGGCCCAACGGCCGGGUAAUACCGCGUACGACCUUUCGGGGACAUCCCUGGAUGGUGAAAGCAGCAAUGCGCCGAUGGAGUGCCUCGCGGCCUAUCAGCUAGUUGGUGAGGUAACGGCCUACCAAGGCGACGACGGGUAGCUGGUCUGAGAGGACGACCAGCCACACUGGAACUGAGAUACGGUCCAGACUCCUACGGGAGGCAGCAGG
Molecule: ribosomal RNA, 239 nt
Filed under: uncultured bacterium
Lineage: Bacteria
Description: partial 16S ribosomal RNA
Rfam family: Bacterial small subunit ribosomal RNA
Source: RNAcentral